RNAcentral lists this ribosomal RNA (460 nucleotides) under uncultured bacterium. RNAcentral's name for it is "partial 16S ribosomal RNA". It matches the Rfam family "Bacterial small subunit ribosomal RNA", at positions 338 to 795 of the family's 1533-position model. The record is from RNAcentral.
CCUACGGGAGGCAGCAGUGAGGAAUAUUGGUCAAUGGACGAGAGUCUGAACCAGCCAAGUAGCGUGAAGGAUGACUGCCCUAUGGGUUGUAAACUUCUUUUAUAUGGGAAUAAAACGUUCCACGUGUGGGAUUUUGUAUGUACCAUAUGAAUAAGGAUCGGCUAACUCCGUGCCAGCAGCCGCGGUAAUACGGAGGAUCCGAGCGUUAUCCGGAUUUAUUGGGUUUAAAGGGAGCGUAGGUGGAUUGUUAAGUCAGUUGUGAAAGUUUGCGGCUCAACCGUAAAAUUGCAGUUGAAACUGGCAGUCUUGAGUACAGUAGAGGUGGGCGGAAUUCGUGGUGUAGCGGUGAAAUGCUGAGAUAUCACGAAGAACUCCGAUUGCGAAGGCAGUUCACUGGACUGCAACUGACACUGAGGCUCGAAAGUGUGGGUAUCAAACAGGAUUAGAUACCCCUGUAGUC